CCUACGGGAGGCAGCAGUGGGGAAUCUUCCGCAAUGGGCGCAAGCCUGACGCAGCAACGCCGCGUGCAUGAAGAAGGUCUUCGGAUCGUAAAGUUCUGUUCGUAGGGAAGAAGUCUUAGGUUGUGAAUAAUGACUUAAGGUAACGGUCCCUAUGGAGAAAGCUCCGGCUAACUACGUGCCAGCAGCCGCGGUAAUACGUAGGGAGCGAGCGUUAUCCGGAAUUAUUGGGCGUAAAGGGCGCGUAGGCGGGAACUGAAUUUAGAUGUGAAAACUCCGGGCUUAACCUGGGGACUGCAUUUAAAACUGGGUUACUUGAGGGCAGGAGAGGAAAGUGGAAUUCCUAGUGUAGCGGUGAAAUGCGUAGAUAUUAGGAGGAACACCAGUGGCGAAGGCGACUUUCUGGACUGUAACUGACGCUGAGGCGCGAAAGCAUGGGGAGCGAACAGGAUUAGAUACCCGAGUAGUC
Molecule: ribosomal RNA, 466 nt
Filed under: uncultured bacterium
Lineage: Bacteria
Description: partial 16S ribosomal RNA
Rfam family: Bacterial small subunit ribosomal RNA
Source: RNAcentral